AUCCAGGGGAAGGGAAGUUGUCAGUAUAUAUGCAGAUAUUUUCCAUUUUAAACUAUAUAUGUAUACACACAGAUGUACUCAAGUCCAAUUUGUGGUGCCUGCACUCAAGAGCACACACAGCCCUAAAAGCCUCAUACAGAAGAACACCACACACAGUAUGCCGGCGCUUUGCAGUUUCCUCUAUAGAACACCACACACAGUAUGCCGGCGCUUUGCAGUUUCCUCUAUAGAACACCACACACAGUAUGCCGUGCUUUGCAGUUUCCUCUAUAGAACACCACACACAGUAUGCCGGCGCUUUGCAGUUUCCUCUAUAGAACACCACACACAGUGUGCCGGCGCUUUGCAGUUUCUUCUAUGAGACUACGCUGCUUUCACUGACACUAAGAAUGUUUCCCUUCAAGGAAGACCGUCUUGGCCUUCUCAGGCUCUCAGCAGAGGAUGAUGACGAUAAUAGCAGCCGUCGUUCACUUUACAUGGUAAAGUGACACAGUACACACUGUUCUAGAUGCUUUUUUUUUUUUUUUUUUUUUUGAGAUGGAGUCUUGCUUUGUUGCCCAGGCUGAAGUGCAGUGGCACGACCUUGGCUCACUGCUACCUCUGCCUCCCGGGUUCAAGCGAUUCUUCUGCCUCAGUCUCCCAAGUAGCUGGGACUACAGGUGUGCACCAACAUGUACCACAGUGCAAAUUCCAGGUUAUCUCUUUAGUAGAGACGGGGUUUCACCAUGUUGGCCAGGCUGGUCUCAAACUCCUGAUCUCAGGUGAUCCACCUGCCUCAGCCUCCCAAAGUGCUGGAAUUACAGGUGUGAGCCACCAUGCCAGACUGCUGCUUUCUAUGUGUAAAGUUAGUCUUCACAGCCAUCUGGUGAAGACUGUAGUAUUAUCAUCAUCCCCAUUUUGCAGAUGAGGAAACUAAGGCAGGAGGGCUUAAAUAACUUGCUCAGAUUUGUACCAUAAUAAAAAGGCAGAACUGGGACACAAACUCAUGCGCUUUGCCUCCUGAGCAUGUCUUUGAGCCACAGAGUCAGACAUAUUUGCCUAGCAGUGCUAUAAGAAAAGCUAGGCAGAGACAGGAACAGCGGAGCACCGGCCACCAGAUCCAGAACCUUAACAUUCUUUUCCCUAUGACAGGCUUCAUCCCUCCACCCCUCAUCUUCGGGGCCGGCAUCGACUCCACCUGCCUGUUCUGGAGCACGUUCUGUGGGGAGCGAGGCGCCUGCGUCCUCUAUGACAAUGUGGUCUACAGAUACCUAUAUGUCAGCAUCGCCAUCGCGCUCAAAUCCUUCGCCUUCAUCCUGUACACCACCACGUGGCAGUGCCUGAGGAAAAACUAUAAACGCUACAUCAAAAACCACGAGGGCGGGCUGAGCACCAGUGAGUUCUUUGCCUCUACUCUGACCCUAGACAACCUGGGGAGGGACCCUGUGCCCGCAAACCAGACACAUAGGACAAAAUUUAUCUAUAACCUGGAAGACCAUGAGUGGUGUGAAAACAUGGAGUCCGUUUUAUAGUGACGAAAGGAGGGCUGAACUCUGUAUUAGUAAUCCAAGGGUCAUUUUUUCUUAAAAAAAGAAAAAAAGGUUUCCAAAAAAAAACCAAAACUCAGUACACACACAGAGGCACAGAUGCACACACACACAGACAGACACACCGACUUUGUCCUUUUUCUCAACAUCAGAGCCAGACAGCAUUCAGAAUAAGGAGAGAAUGACAUCGUGCGGCGAGGUCCUGGAGGCCACUCGCGCGGCUGGGCCACAGAGUCUACUUUGAAGGCACCUCAUGGUUUUCAGGAUGCUGACAGCUGCAAGCAACAGGCACUGCCAAAUUCAGGGAACAGUGGUGGCCAGCUUGGAGGAUGGACAUUUCUGGAUAUACAUACACAUACAAAACAGAAAACAUUUUUUAAAAGUUUACUAAAAU
RNAcentral lists this small RNA (1920 nucleotides) under Pongo abelii (Sumatran orangutan). RNAcentral describes it as "retained intron". The record is from RNAcentral. Lineage: Eukaryota; Metazoa; Chordata; Mammalia; Primates; Hominidae.